This 238-nucleotide ribosomal RNA is filed under the name uncultured bacterium. Its description in RNAcentral is "partial 16S ribosomal RNA". It matches the Rfam family "Bacterial small subunit ribosomal RNA", at positions 96 to 334 of the family's 1533-position model. The record is from RNAcentral.
CGGCGGACGGGUGAGUAACGCGUGGGUAACCUGCCUCAUACAGGGGGAUAACAGUUAGAAAUGGCUGCUAAUACCGCAUAAGACCACGGUACUGCAUGGUACAGUGGUAAAAACUCCGGUGGUAUGAGAUGGCCCCGCGUCUGAUUAGGUAGUUGGUGAGGUAACGGCCCACCAAGCCGACGAUCAGUGGCCGACCUGAGAGGGUGACCGGCCACAUUGGGACUGAGACACGGCCCAG